AUUGAACGCUGGCGGCAUGCCUUACACAUGCAAGUCGAACGGCAGCACGGGAGCAAUCCUGGUGGCGAGUGGCGAACGGGUGAGUAAUAUAUCGGAACGUGCCCAGUCGUGGGGAUAACGUAGCGAAAGCUACGCUAAUACCGCAUACGAUCUAUGGAUGAAAGCGGGGGAUCGCAAGACCUUCGCGCGAUUGGAGCGGCCGAUAUCAGAUUAGGUAGUUGGUGAGGUAAAGGCUCACCAAGCCGACGAUCUGUAGCUGGUCUGAGAGGACGACCAGCCACACUGGGACUGAGACACGG
This 299-nucleotide ribosomal RNA is filed under the name uncultured bacterium. RNAcentral's name for it is "partial 16S ribosomal RNA". It matches the Rfam family "Bacterial small subunit ribosomal RNA", at positions 30 to 329 of the family's 1533-position model. The record is from RNAcentral.